Molecule: unclassified non-coding RNA, 227 nt
Filed under: uncultured Clavulinaceae
Lineage: Eukaryota; Fungi; Basidiomycota; Agaricomycetes; Cantharellales; Hydnaceae
Description: sequence contains ITS2
Source: RNAcentral
AAUUCUCAAACUGAGAUGCUUUUUUGUUUCUCGGCUUGGUGUUGGGCUUUGCAGUCCCCUUUGAUUGGGAUGGCUGGCCUCAAAAGCAUUAGCCGGCUUUUCAUGUGGCAUUGGUUCUACUCAGCGUGAUAAUAAUCUGACCGCCGAGGACAUCUUUCGAGAUGGCCAAUUCUCAUUUGGGCUGCUUGGUUGAGCAGAUUCUGAUCAGAUCUGUUCCACUUUUCAAC